This 882-nucleotide long non-coding RNA is filed under the name Homo sapiens (human). Its description in RNAcentral is "non-protein coding TTTY15:7". Lineage: Eukaryota; Metazoa; Chordata; Mammalia; Primates; Hominidae. The record is from RNAcentral.
GUGCUGGUGUCGGGACCGGGAGAUAGGAGUGUCUCAGGAGAGACCUGGCCGAAAACCGCGAGAAAGAAAAGUGAAGCCUAGUGAAACUGCCUUUGCAGUGACUCAAGAAAAACUCAUCACCUGGAGUCCGUGUAAGCUCGGCGACAGCCCUAGCAGCGAGGCCAAAACAGUUUGGGAAGAAAGAAAACCUAAAGUAUUUGCCGUUGGUGAUUCAAGGGAAUCAAACUUGACGUAUGGAGCCAAGAAAGCCCUUGGAAAAACUGGCCUCAUAUUUUGUGUACACAGUCCCUGUACAGGGUUUCUGACCUGUGGAUGUGAGACUUCACAACCUGCUAAAAAUGAGCUUUCAGGACCUACCCAUAUAGGAAUAAACCAUCCUAGCCAUGAGAGAUCAGAUGAAACCUGAGACCAGAGAGACUCAUUUGUUUCAAAAUAGUUUCUCCAAAAGAUUUUAUAAAAGAAAAGGCUGGGGGGAGUGGGAUAUGAAAGGAAAAUGAAUCUUGGGGCCCCCAAAUCACUAAGCUCAAGGGAUAAGUCAAGUUAGAAACUGUUCAGGGCCAACUUACCUUGCAUUCUAUUCAAAUUCACCCCUCUGCUCACUUAGAUGCAUAUCUGAUUGUAAUCAGAAACUCAAAAGAAUGCAGCAGUUUGUCUCUCACCUAUCUAUGACCUGGAAGCCCCCUUCCCCGUUUGAGUCUUCCUGCCUUUGCUUCACUUUAUCCCUGCCUUUCUAGACUGAACCAACAUACUUCUUAGAUAUAUUGAUUGAUGUCUCAUGUCUCCCUAAAAUGUAUAAAACUAAGCUGGGCCCCAACCACCUUGGGCACAUGUCGUUAGGACUUCCUGAGACUGUGUCACAAGUUUGUGUCCACAACUUUGACA